Molecule: long non-coding RNA, 275 nt
Filed under: Homo sapiens (human)
Lineage: Eukaryota; Metazoa; Chordata; Mammalia; Primates; Hominidae
Description: HSALNT0240861
Source: RNAcentral
CUGCGCCGGCCAGCCCGCAGUCAAUGCCCUUUGCCUGCACGAAAACAGGCUAGACACAGAGUCGCCUUGGUGAACACAGAAGGAUAUUGAGUGCACACGCGCCCCCACCAGUACACGCUAUUUAGAAUAAUAAUAUGUGUGGUGCUCCCAAGAGUUCACAAAUGAUUUCGCAUCCCAUCUCUCAUCCAAUCCUUCCAGCUGCCCUGUGAGGUGAGCGGGGCAAAUGUUCCACCCUGCGAUUUACAGAUGAACAAACAGCGGGAGACUUGUUCAAG